This 497-nucleotide ribosomal RNA is filed under the name uncultured bacterium. Its description in RNAcentral is "partial 16S ribosomal RNA". It matches the Rfam family "Bacterial small subunit ribosomal RNA", at positions 28 to 507 of the family's 1533-position model. The record is from RNAcentral.
GAUGAACGCUGGCGGCGUGCCUAAUACAUGCAAGUCGAGCGAACAGACGAGGAGCUUGCUCUUCUGACGUUAGCGGCGGACGGGUGAGUAACACGUGGAUAACCUACCUAUAAGACUGGGAUAACUUCGGGAAACCGUAGCUAAUACCGGAUAACAUGUUGAACCGCAUGGUUCAACAGUGAAAGACGGCUUUGCUGUUACUUAUAGAUGGAUCCGCGCCGCAUUAGCUAGUUGGUAAGGUAACGGCUUACCAAGGCAACGAUGCGUAGCCGACCUGAGAGGAUGAUCGGCCACACUGGAACUGAGACACGGUCCAGACUCCUACGGGAGGCAGCAGUAGGGAAUCUUGCGCAAUGGGCGAAAGCCUGACGGAGCAACGCCGCGUGAGUGAAGAAGGUCUUCGGAUCGUAAAGCUCUGUUGUUAGGGAAGAAAAAAUGUGUAAGUAAAUAUGCACGUCUUGACGGUACCUAAUCAGAAAGCAACGGCUAACUACGUG